AUGCGCCACACGCACACUGCGGUUUUUAGGUGCGCCGUCCGCAACCAUCUGGCACCUGCUCGCCAGGUGUCAUCAGCC
This 78-nucleotide small RNA is filed under the name Xanthomonas arboricola. Its description in RNAcentral is "sX9 sRNA". It matches the Rfam family "Xanthomonas sRNA sX9". Lineage: Bacteria; Pseudomonadati; Pseudomonadota; Gammaproteobacteria; Lysobacterales; Lysobacteraceae. The record is from RNAcentral.